GUAAAAAAAAUCUGUAAAAUAACAGUUAAAUGACUGUAUAUUUUAACAGAUUUUUUCCGUAUACACGUAUUACGGGUGUUUUUCCGUUUAUAUACAUUUUCGAAUUGCAUUGUGGGAAGGGGAUCGCAGCUCAGACAGCGUUUGAUGGACACCGGGACAUAUUUCUUCCUCUGUUUUUUCCCUGGUAAGUACGAUUAAUAAAACAUAUAACAAUAUUUUAGUUAAAAGACUGCUUUAUUACCUUUUUAUCGUUAUUUAAAAUGAUUUUUGUCUUUUAUGAAGCGCCCAUGGAAAGUACAGCAUUGUUUGUCCGUAUUUUUCUAAACUGCCGUGCGCGGGAAGUGGCGUGACGUCCCAAUCACCCACUCACUCCCUCUGCACCUGACUGGAUUAACGGUAAACGUCAGUUUGUCUGUAAGAGUGUAAAAGGUUCUUUCAUUUUGGUUAUAAGUACAUGUUACAGGUAAAUUCUUAGAUUCAAUCCAAACUGAAUUUGAAUUAAUACGGACAAAUGAAAUAAAAUACACCUGGGAUUUUAAAUGUUUUCAUUUUUUUAUUAUUCACAACGUUUGUGAAGUCUAAAUGUAGACUGUCUCAAACUGAAUGAGUGUUAUUUUUGUUGUAGGUGUGUUGGUGUAAAAAUUG
This is a non-coding RNA of Danio rerio (zebrafish), 645 nucleotides long. The record is from RefSeq and is a predicted model, not a curated record. Lineage: Eukaryota; Metazoa; Chordata; Actinopteri; Cypriniformes; Danionidae.